GUUUAUAUAGCUUAUAGAGAGUUUAAUAUUGAAGAUAUUAAGGAGUAAAAUUUUACUUUAAACA
This 64-nucleotide transfer RNA is filed under the name Mesargus serrata. RNAcentral describes it as "tRNA-Phe". The record is from RNAcentral. Lineage: Eukaryota; Metazoa; Arthropoda; Insecta; Hemiptera; Cicadellidae.